GACGAACCGUGCGAACGUUGUUCGGAAUCACUGGGCUUAAAGGGCGCGUAGGCUGCCUGCUUAGUCGGGGGUGAAAUCUUUCGGCUUAACCGGAAAAUUGCCUUCGAUACUGGCAGGCUCGAGCGAGGUAGGGGCGGAUGGAACUUCCGGUGGAGCGGUGAAAUGCGUAGAUAUCGGAAGGAACACCGGUGGCGAAAGCGGCGCGCUGGACCUCUUCUGACGCUGAGGCGCGAAAGCCAGGGGAGCAAACGGG
RNAcentral lists this ribosomal RNA (253 nucleotides) under uncultured bacterium. RNAcentral describes it as "partial 16S ribosomal RNA". It matches the Rfam family "Bacterial small subunit ribosomal RNA", at positions 524 to 776 of the family's 1533-position model. The record is from RNAcentral.